CAGGGAAAUGGGGAGUGCUCAGUGCUGCAGAGAAAAGAGCUCCUAUAGAAGGUGACAGCACUGUUGGUGUUAGUGGUUCUUCAAAGAUACUGAAGACAGUGCAGUUUUGGCAAGCGUUCUGCAGGAAGUUUUAGGCGUGGCUGUGAAUGCAUUGUUUUAGAGCCUUCUGAAAUGAUUGUGGUGGACUAUAUGGAUGAAAAUGAAGAAUAUUUUCAGCGUCAAGCUUCCCAUAGACAAUCUCGAAGGAGAUUUAGAAAAAUCAACCAGAAAGGUGAAAGACAAACAAUUAUUGACACUGUGGAUCCUUAUCCCAUGGGCAAACCUCCUUUGCCUAGAGGCUAUCACACGGAAUGCACUAAAUCUCAGCUUCCUGCAGAUUUCACAAAACUGCAUCUUACUGACAGUCUCCACCCACAGGUGACCCACGUUUCUUCUAGUCAUUCAGGAUGUAGUAUCACUAGUGAUUCUGGAAGCAGCAGUCUUUCUGAUAUCUACCAGGCCACAGAAAGCGAGGCUGGUGAUAUGGACCUGAGUGGGUUGCCAGAAACAGCAGUGGAUUCCGAGGACGACGAUGAUGAAGAAGACAUUGAGAGAGCGUCAGAUCCUCUGAUGAGUAGGGACAUUGUGAGAGACUGCCUAGAGAAGGACCCAAUUGACCGGACAGAUGAUGAUAUUGAACAACUCUUGGAAUUU
This 693-nucleotide small RNA is filed under the name Pongo abelii (Sumatran orangutan). Its description in RNAcentral is "processed transcript". The record is from RNAcentral. Lineage: Eukaryota; Metazoa; Chordata; Mammalia; Primates; Hominidae.